GACGAACGCUGGCGGCGUGCUUAACACAUGCAAGUCGAACGGAAAGGCCCUGCUUUUGUGGGGUGCUCGAGUGGCGAACGGGUGAGUAACACGUGAGUAACCUGCCCUUGACUUUGGGAUAACUUCAGGAAACUGGAGCUAAUACCGGAUAGGAGCUCCUGCUGCAUGGUGGGGGUUGGAAAGUUUCGGCGGUUGGGGAUGGACUCUCGGCUUAUCAGCUUGUUGGUGGGGUAGUGGCUUACCAAGGCUUUGACGGGUAGCCGGCCUGAGAGGGUGACCGGCCACAUUGGGACUGAGAUACGGCCCAGACUCCUACGGGAGGCAGCAGUGGGGAAUAUUGCACAAUGGGCGGAAGCCUGAUGCAGCAACGCCGCGUGCGGGAUGACGGCCUUCGGGUUGUAAACCGCUUUCGCCUGUGACGAAGCGUGAGUGACGGUAAUGGGUAAAGAAGCACCGGCUAACUACGUG
This 468-nucleotide ribosomal RNA is filed under the name uncultured bacterium. Its description in RNAcentral is "partial 16S ribosomal RNA". It matches the Rfam family "Bacterial small subunit ribosomal RNA", at positions 28 to 507 of the family's 1533-position model. The record is from RNAcentral.